AUACCUUUCUCGGCCUUUUGGCUAAGAUCAAGUGUAGUAUUUGUUCUUAUCAGUUUAAUAUCUGAUAUGUGGGUCAUGUGCCCACAAUGAUAUUAAAUUUAUUUUUUAUGGGGGAGGGUCCACCACAGUGGCUUGCCAUUGGGGCCCUCAAGUGUCGUCUGGGCGUUGCACUACAGCCCAGGCAGGCGCACCCCAA
RNAcentral lists this small nuclear RNA (196 nucleotides) under Triticum aestivum (bread wheat). RNAcentral describes it as "snRNA U2". It matches the Rfam family "U2 spliceosomal RNA". From Rfam's summary of the family: U2 is a small nuclear RNA (snRNA) component of the spliceosome (involved in pre-mRNA splicing). The record is from Rfam by way of RNAcentral. Lineage: Eukaryota; Viridiplantae; Streptophyta; Magnoliopsida; Poales; Poaceae.